RNAcentral lists this ribosomal RNA (413 nucleotides) under Capnocytophaga canimorsus. RNAcentral describes it as "bacterial SSU rRNA". It matches the Rfam family "Bacterial small subunit ribosomal RNA", at positions 65 to 479 of the family's 1533-position model. Lineage: Bacteria; Pseudomonadati; Bacteroidota; Flavobacteriia; Flavobacteriales; Flavobacteriaceae. The record is from RNAcentral.
AGGGGUAGGGUGCUUCGGCACUUGAGACCGGCGCACGGGUGCGUAACACGUGUACAAUCUACCUUUUGCUAAGGGAUAGCCCGAAGAAAUUUGGAUUAAUACCUUAUAGUAUUGUUUGGUGGCAUCANUGAAUAAUUAAAGCUCUGGUGGCAAAAGAUGAGUACGCGUCCCAUUAGCUAGUUGGUGUGGUAACGGCAUACCAAGGCUACGAUGGGUAGGGGUCCUGAGAGGGAGGUCCCCCACACUGGUACUGAGACACGGACCAGACUCCUACGGGAGGCAGCAGUGAGGAAUAUUGGACAAUGGUCGGAAGACUGAUCCAGCCAUGCCGCGUGCAGGAUGACGGCCUUAUGGGUUGUAAACUGCUUUUGUAUGGGAAGAAUAAGGUCUACGUGUAGAUUGAUGACGGUACC